Molecule: long non-coding RNA, 883 nt
Filed under: Chinchilla lanigera (long-tailed chinchilla)
Lineage: Eukaryota; Metazoa; Chordata; Mammalia; Rodentia; Chinchillidae
Description: lncRNA (ENSCLAG00000028510.1)
Source: RNAcentral
UGUACAGCCGUGCAAAUGGCCCUGUGUGAAAGGGAUCUCUUGCAAAGAGCAUUCAACGUGACAUAGGAUGUGCUGCUUAUUCUCUGUAAAAAUCAAACCUUUAAUGUAGUAGGGAGACGUUCUCCAUAAUUUUUCAUAUUUCUGAUCUUGCAGACUACUAUCUGUAGUUCCAAACUACCUUUCCAUGCAUAUUUGUACAGUGAAGUGUUUUAGAAGAUAUAGAUAGGGCUUUCCUCUUAAAGGAAAAGCAGGUUGGAUUCUUAUUUUAAAAGAUUUGGGUGCUCUAAAUUCCUAUUUUCCCUUUUAUUCACACCUCACUAUUCUGAAAGUACAGUCCAAUCCUCUAUGUCUCCCUACAGGAAAGGAAGCUUAGAGAACUUGCAAAACAGUGCCAGUUUUUGACUCACAGGCCGCCAUUCAACUCAGACCACAACUCCAGUGUUUUCCGUCAGCAUCCACUACCGUGUGAAAGGCUUGCUCACUUGCAAAUAGAGAGACAAAUGGUAAUUGAUCAUAGCUACAUCUUGGAAACAACCCAGAUGCCCCUCAACUGAGGAAUGGAUAAAAAAGAUGUCGUGUUUCUACAUAAUGGAGUACUACUCAGCUAUAAAGAAAGAUAAACUUGAGAUUUUAUAGGUAAAUGGAUGCGUCUGGAGAUCACACUUAUAAGUGAAAUAAAUCAGACUCACGUGUGUAAACAUCAUAUUGUCUUCCUAGUGUGAGAACCUGAAAGAGUAAAUAAAAUCUAAAAGGUACAAUAGAUACUGUGAAAGGGAAAGAAACUGCUCAAAAGGAAAGAAUGACUGGGAUUAGGGAAAAGAGAAAAGAAAAAAAGUUGGGAAAAAUAUGAAAUAUAUAUAUACAUACACACACACAAGAUAGC